RNAcentral lists this small RNA (756 nucleotides) under Pan troglodytes (chimpanzee). RNAcentral's name for it is "processed transcript". Lineage: Eukaryota; Metazoa; Chordata; Mammalia; Primates; Hominidae. The record is from RNAcentral.
GGAGCAUGGGGAGCUCCCGGGAGGCCACUCGUGCGCCGGCCGGGUCCCCGGCUUGGGCCUCCACUCAGGCCAUUACUCCGGGCGCGGCCCUGACGGUCCAGCGCGGCUAGCAGCAGGAAUCACAUUAAACAUUGCUGGUAACAAUCGCUUAGUGCCAGUAGAAAGAGUUACAGGUGAAGAUUUUUGGAUUCUUUCCAAAAUUUUAAAGAAUUGUCUGUAUAUUAAUGGUUUGGAUGUUGGAUAUAACCUUCUAUGUGAUGUUGGUGCAUACUAUGCUGCGAAACUGCUUCAGAAACAACUUAAUCUCAUUUACUUAAACCUCAUGUUUAAUGAUAUUGGGCCCGAAGGUGGAGAAUUGAUUGCUAAAGUGCUACAUAAGAAUCGGACUCUGAAAUACCUAAGAAUGACUGGAAACAAAAUUGAAAAUAAAGGUGGAAUGUUUUUUGCUGCAAUGCUGCAAAUUAAUUCAUCAUUAGAGAAAUUAGAUCUGGGUGACUGUGAUCUGGGAAUGCAAAGUGUGAUAGCAUUUGCUACAGUACUAACUCAAAACCAAGCAAUUAAGGCAAUAAACCUAAACCGACCUAUACUGUAUGGUGAACAGGAAGAGUCUACAGUCCAUGUAGGCCGCAUGUUGAAAGAAAAUCACUGUCUUGUUGCACUACACAUGUGUAAGCAUGAUAUAAAAAACAGUGGUAUACAACAGUUAUGUGAUGCACUGUAUCUGAACAGUAGCCUGCGCUACCUUGAUGUCAGCUG